AUUGAACGCUGGCGGCAGGCCUAACACAUGCAAGUCGAGCGGUAGCACAGAGAGCUUGCUCUCGGGUGACGAGCGGCGGACGGGUGAGUAAUGUCUGGGAAACUGCCUGAUGGAGGGGGAUAACUACUGGAAACGGUAGCUAAUACCGCAUAACGUCGCAAGACCAAAGUGGGGGACCUUCGGGCCUCAUGCCAUCAGAUGUGCCCAGAUGGGAUUAGCUAGUAGGUGGGGUAAUGGCUCACCUAGGCGACGAUCCCUAGCUGGUCUGAGAGGAUGACCAGCCACACUGGAACUGAGACACGGUCCAGACUCCUACGGGAGGCAGCAGUGGGGAAUAUUGCACAAUGGGCGCAAGCCUGAUGCAGCCAUGCCGCGUGUAUGAAGAAGGCCUUCGGGUUGUAAAGUACUUUCAGCGAGGAGGAAGGCGUUAAGGUUAAUAACCUUAGCGAUUGACGUUACUCGCAGAAGAAGCACCGGCUAACUCCGUGCCAGCAGCCGCGGUAAUACGGAGGGUGCAAGCGUUAAUCGGAAUUACUGGGCGUAAAGCGCACGCAGGCGGUCUGUCAAGUCGGAUGUGAAAUCCCCGGGCUCAACCUGGGAACUGCAUUCGAAACUGGCAGGCUAGAGUCUUGUAGAGGGGGGUAGAAUUCCAGGUGUAGCGGUGAAAUGCGUAGAGAUCUGGAGGAAUACCGGUGGCGAAGGCGGCCCCCUGGACAAAGACUGACGC
Molecule: ribosomal RNA, 727 nt
Filed under: Klebsiella sp.
Lineage: Bacteria; Pseudomonadati; Pseudomonadota; Gammaproteobacteria; Enterobacterales; Enterobacteriaceae
Description: bacterial SSU rRNA
Rfam family: Bacterial small subunit ribosomal RNA
Source: RNAcentral